This 254-nucleotide ribosomal RNA is filed under the name uncultured bacterium. RNAcentral's name for it is "partial 16S ribosomal RNA". It matches the Rfam family "Bacterial small subunit ribosomal RNA", at positions 524 to 776 of the family's 1533-position model. The record is from RNAcentral.
UACGGAGGGUGCAAGCGUUAUCCGGAUUCACUGGGUUUAAAGGGUGCGUAGGUGGGCAGGUAAGUCCGUGGUGAAAUCUCCAAGCUUAACUUGGAAACUGCCGUGGAUACUAUCUGUCUUGAAUACCGUGGAGGUGAGCGGAAUAUGUCAUGUAGCGGUGAAAUGCUUAGAUAUGACAUAGAACACCAAUUGCGAAGGCAGCUCACUACACGCUUAUUGACACUGAGGCACGAAAGCGUGGGGAUCGAAACAGG